RNAcentral lists this non-coding RNA (22 nucleotides) under Arabidopsis thaliana (thale cress). Lineage: Eukaryota; Viridiplantae; Streptophyta; Magnoliopsida; Brassicales; Brassicaceae. RNAcentral also lists the same sequence under 1 other name. The record is from RNAcentral.
UCUAGUAGCUGGUUCCCUCCGA